CUUACUACUUGGAUAACCGUGGUAAUUCUAGAGCUAAUACAUGCUAAAAACCCCAACUCACGAAGGGGUGUAUUUAUUAGAUUAAAAACCAAUGCCCUUCGGGGCUCCUUGGUGAUUCAUAAUAACUUCUCGAAUCGCAUGGCCUUGCGCCGGCGAUGGUUCAUUCAAAUUUCUGCCCUAUCAACUUUCGAUGGCAGGGUCUUGGCCUGCCAUGGUUACAACGGGUAACGGAGGGUUAGGGCUCGACCCCGGAGAAGGAGCCUGAGAAACGGCUACUACAUCCAAGGAAGGCAGCAGGCGCGCAAAUUACCCAAUCCCGACUCGGGGAGGUAGUGACAAUAAAUACUGAUACAGGGCUCUUUUGGGUCUUGUAAUUGGAAUGAGUACAAUUUAAAUCCCUUAACGAGGAACAAUUGGAGGGCAAGUCUGGUGCCAGCAGCCGCGGUAAUUCCAGCUCCAAUAGCGUAUAUUAAAGUUGUUGCAGUUAAAAAGCUCGUAGUUGAACCUUGGGCCUGGCUGGCCGGUCCGCCUCACCGCGUGCACUGGUUCGGCCGGGCCUUUCCCUCUGGGGAACCGCAUGCCCUUCACUGGGUGUGUCGGGGAACCAGGACUUUUACUGUGAAAAAAUUAGAGUGUUCAAAGCAGGCCUAUGCUCGAAUACAUUAGCAUGGAAUAAUAGAAUAGGACGUGUGGUUCUAUUUUGUUGGUUUCUAGGACCGCCGUAAUGAUUAAUAGGGACAGUCGGGGGCGUCAGUAUUCCGUUGUCAGAGGUGAAAUUCUUGGAUUUACGGAAGACUAACUACUGCGAAAGCAUUCGCCAAGGAUGUUUUCAUUAAUCAGGAACGAAAGUUAGGGGAUCGAAGACGAUCAGAUACCGUCGUAGUCUUU
This 888-nucleotide ribosomal RNA is filed under the name fungal sp. NIOCC F51. RNAcentral describes it as "SSU rRNA". It matches the Rfam family "Eukaryotic small subunit ribosomal RNA", at positions 131 to 1028 of the family's 1831-position model. Lineage: Eukaryota; Fungi. The record is from RNAcentral.